Molecule: long non-coding RNA, 233 nt
Organism: Alosa sapidissima (American shad)
Lineage: Eukaryota; Metazoa; Chordata; Actinopteri; Clupeiformes; Clupeidae
Exons: 3
Source: RefSeq, a predicted model, not a curated record
CCGAAGGCUGUUUGUGGAGCCCUCCUCUCACCUGAACUUCCCCUACAGGUCAAAGAACUGGGAGAUGUUCCCAGUGAGGCCCGGAUUCAUGACCGGGUAUCACUAUCAUCAAUGUGUGAUUUGCAUAAAGUGGAUGCCCUGAGUGAGACUGAGGCAAAAAAGCCAAUCUGUCAAGCAAGGCUUGAGAGAGCCAACACAAGAUCCCAUGCCGCCUGGUGGGAUUUCUACUUUGG